AUAAAAUAAUUUACUACAUUUGUAGUUUAUUGAUUUUAUUCUGUACAUUUAAAAAUACUAAUCUGUGAAGGGGUUCAUAGGCUUCGACAGACUGCCAAAGAAGUCCAUGGCACAAAAAGUUAUGAACCCUUUAUCAAUGACUAUUCCAAAGAAUGUUGAUUUUGUUCCUGGGGAUGUCAGAGACUGAUUUCUCCAGUGACUAUAAAGUAUCAUUUUACAGUCACAUUCAUUUAUCAUCACAUUCAUUUAUCAAAUAAUUUGAUAAAUACUUGGUGAGUUUCCACUGCAAGUUAGAUACUGAACUAUGUCCUUGGGAUACAUCAGUGAACCAAACAAAAAUCUCAACCUUUGUGGAGUUUACAUACUGGCGGGGAAGGCAGAUGAUAACACAAAAGAUACAUAGAUUAUGUAAUAGGUCCAAAGCUAGAAAGGAAAGGUGCCAGGAAGGAUUUUGCUGCCAUUUUAAAUUGAGUGGUCAGAGCAGGUCUCAUGUACAGACUUGCCUAUAUAGGUCAGCAAGCCCGGAAGUCUCCAGAUGGAAUUUCCCAGGCAAAGGAAACAACUCAAAGCUCAGAGGAGGGAUCAUGUUUACUAUGUUCAAGAAAUAGCCAGAAAGACUGCGUGGCUGGAGCAGAGUAGGAUGAGGAAGAAAAGAAGAAGGGAAGAUCAGAGAACUAAUGGAGGGAGGAGGAGAGUACACAGAGGUCUUUAAAGGCCAUAUAAGAACUUGGAUUUUUACUCUGAGGUAGGCGAAGAAUUUAGACAAUUGCAUUUCUUUUUGGGAAAGAAAUGCCGUGAUCUGACUUAAUGUUUCAAAAGAAUCACUUAUACUUCUUUGUGGGCAAUAGAAUGGAAGGAGGCAAGGGUGGGAACAGGAAAACAGUUAUAAGACGAUUGCUAAAAUGUAGCAAGUCUGACGAAAGUGAUAGCCAUGGAGGCGGUGAGGAGUAAUUGGUCUCUGAAUUAUGUUUAGGGUAAACACAGGAAGACUUCCUGGUGAAUCGGAUGUGCAGUGGGAGUAAUAAAGAGAGGAAACAAGGGUGACUCAAAGAUUUUUGACCUAAGCACUAGAGGGGUGAAUUUUUCAUCUACUGAGAUGGAAAGCUUUGAGCAGCUCAGAUAUUUGGGAGAAGAUCAGGAGUCACUCUUGAAAAGUUUGAAUGAUCUAAAUGAGAGACUUUGAAUAUAGUUUUGGAGUCUGAGGCAAAGGAGCAUCCAGGGCUGGAGAUGUAAAUUUGGCAACAAAGGGCAUACAGAGGGAGCCUGGAUGAGAUCCCCAAAGGAAGGAGAGUGGAUAAAAAAAGAAACUACAAUCUGGGGCAAGUCAGUCCAGGACUAAGAGGUAUAAGCAAAGAUAAAUCAUUCACAAAGUUCUGAGACUAGCAACUAGUGAAUUAGGAAGCCUUACAAGCCAAAAAAAAAAAAAAAAAAAAAAAAGUAUCAAGGAGUGGUGUCAUCUCUGUCAAGGGGCGUAAAAUGUGAGAGGACCAAAUGUGAGCCAUGAGAUUUAGCAACCUGAAGUUUAUCUGAGACCUCAGUAAGAGCAAUUUUGUUGAGAGUUAAGACCUGAUUUCAGUGGGUCUGUGAGAGAAUGAGAGGAGAGGAACUGGAUAGAAUUAAUACAGACCCCCUUUCUAAAUGUUUUUCUGCAAAGGCAAAGAGAAAUGGAGUCAUACCUGGUAGGGAGAGAGGGUCCAGUAAAAGGUUUUAUUUCUGUUUUUUCUUGUUUUUGUUGGCUUAGUUUUUUGCUUUUUAAGAUAAAUGAGUAACAAUCUUUUGUGCUGAGGAGGAUGACUCAAAAAGCGGAAAGAGUUGACAAGGUAAGAGAUGGGAGAAGACAUGCAGGGAUGCCCUUGAGUGGGCCGCAGGGCUUGCAAUCUGGUGCACAUGUGAAGAGAUUGGCUCUAGAAAGACCACAGACAAUUCACCUUUCAAAACAGCAAGAAAAGCACAGUGAGUACACGUGCUUGUGGGAGGGUGAGCAGGUGCAGUAGUGAGAGACUGGGGAAAUUCUCUUUUAAUUGUUUCACCUCUGUCAGUGAAGGAGAAAAAAAGAUUGUGCAUUGAGAAUGAACAUGAGGGAGCAGAUGCUGGAGAUUUAAAAGGGAGGUGAGAAAGGACAGUUGAUUGGGAAAGAGAUAGAAUAGUGGCUCUCAAAGGCAGUCUCCAGAUCAGCAGCAUUGGUAUCACCUGAAGACUUGUUAGUAAUGCAAAAAUCUCAGGCCUUACUUCCAGCUUGAUGAAUCAGGAACUCUGAGGUAGGCGCAGCAGUCUGUGUCUUAGCAAGCCUUGCAGGGAUUCUGAUGCACGCUGAAGUCUGAGUGUCACUGGAAUGGAUGGUGUCCAUAUGAUUGCUGGGUCACUCCGCCUAUCCUGAAUGUCAAGAACAUGCCAAGUGAGACCAGCCAGUAUAUUGUAGCUUUUUCUCCAGCCACAACCAGAAAGUCUUUGCUUCCUCUUCGCCUUCUGCCAUGAUUGUAAGUUUCCUGAAGCCUCUCCAGCUGUGCAAAACGAGAAAAAGAUGCACAUCCAAAAGCCUCAUUUGAAACUUCCAGACAGAGAGCCCAGCAUUUGGAGAGUCUCUUUGGACAGCUUUAAACACAAUUACAGAAAAGAAAGCAAUCUCUCUGAAGUUUGAAACCUUUGAUAUUCAGAAAACAUGAAGACUCAGAGAAGAAAAGUGAUAUGUUAGCAUGCUUUGUAAAUAGUACAGCCAGGACUCCUUUUAUAUAAAAAUCCAUGGUACUUUCUAUUUUUCCCAUGGGUGAAUUUUAGCCAAAGUUUCAAUAUUAAACCUGAAAUCAUCAAAAAGACUAUGGUAAAAUUAGAUGUACAGGUGAUCCUUUAACAACAAGGGCUUGAACAAAGGGGGUCUGCUUCUGUGCAGAUUUUUUUCUGCCUCUGCCAUCCCUGAGACAGCAAGACAAAUUCCUCCUCUUCCUCCCACCUCCUCAGCCUACUCGGUGUGAGGAUGAUGAGAAUAAACACCUUUAUGAUGCUCUACUUCCACUUUAUAAAUAGUGAGUAUAUAUUGUCUUGUGAUUUUAAUAUUUUUUCCUCUAGCUUACUUUAAUGUAAUAGUGUAGUAUAUAAUACAUAUAACAUGCAAAAUAUGUGUUAAUUGACUGUUUAUGUUAUUAGCAAGGCUUCCAAGGAACAGUAGGCUAUUAGCAGUUAAGUUUUGGGGGAGUCAAAAAUUAUACACAGAUUUUUGACUGUACUGUAGGUCAGCCUCCCUAACCUUCGCAUUGUUCAAGGGUCAACUUUGUAUACAUAUCUAAUUUUGAGAUAAUACACUGUGGUUAGUAUAUACAUCAGUACUAACCAUAGUGUAUUAUCUCAAUAUUUGUUGAACAAAUAAAACUACAUAUACUUGUCAUGCCUAGUCUUGUUUCUAUGGAAAAAAAAAAGAUUUUCCUUGUAACUCUAGGCACAAAAUACGUCUUGCUAUAUCACAGGGGGUAGCAUCUUACCUAGUGACAUUGGAACAGUCUCCAAAAAACAGUGCACAGAGGGGUGCAGACAGCCUAAACUUGGUAACACAUAAGGAAAGACACUGUAUACCUCUGAGUAAAUGAAUGGCACAUGUGUUACAUUGUCUCCUCCCAUGUUCUGGCAGGGAUUACACUACUUGCCAUGAGCAAAAAAGGAGAUGGUAUAACGUGAAUGCCAUUUAUUUGCUAUUAUGAUUUUUUUUUUUUUUUUU
Molecule: long non-coding RNA, 3706 nt
Organism: Pan troglodytes (chimpanzee)
Lineage: Eukaryota; Metazoa; Chordata; Mammalia; Primates; Hominidae
Exons: 4
Source: RefSeq, a predicted model, not a curated record